GUCGAGAAUCUUCCGCAAUGGGCGAAAGCCUGACGGAGCGACACCGCGUGCAGGAUGAAGGCCUUCGGGUUGUAAACUGCUGUCACGCUUUAGGAACGAACAAGCGUAAAUAGCGCUUGGACUGACCAAGGCGAAAGGAAGCACCGGCUAACUCUGUGCCAGCAGCCGCGGUAAGACAGAGGGUGCAAACGUUGUUCGGAAUUACUGGGCAUAAAGAGCACGUAGGUGGUUCGCUAAGUUACGUGUGAAAUCCCCCGGCUCAACCGGGGAAUUGCGCGUGAUACUGGCGGACUCGAGGCGGGUAGGGGUGAGCGGAACUCCAGGUGGAGCGGUGAAAUGCGUAGAUAUCUGGAGGAACACCGGUGGCGAAAGCGGCUCACUGGACCCGAUCUGACACUGAGGUGCGAAAGCUAGGGUAGCAAACGGGAUUAGAAACCCGGGUAGUCC
RNAcentral lists this ribosomal RNA (447 nucleotides) under uncultured bacterium. RNAcentral describes it as "bacterial SSU rRNA". It matches the Rfam family "Bacterial small subunit ribosomal RNA", at positions 354 to 796 of the family's 1533-position model. The record is from RNAcentral.